This 253-nucleotide ribosomal RNA is filed under the name uncultured bacterium. RNAcentral describes it as "partial 16S ribosomal RNA". It matches the Rfam family "Bacterial small subunit ribosomal RNA", at positions 524 to 776 of the family's 1533-position model. The record is from RNAcentral.
UACGUAGGGUGCGAGCGUUAAUCGGAAUUACUGGGCGUAAAGCGUGCGCAGGCGGUUCGUUGUGUCGGUGGUGAAAGCCCCGGGCUUAACCUGGGAAUGGCCAUGGAAACUGGCGAACUGGAGUGUGGCAGAGGGGGGUGGAAUUCCGCGUGUAGCAGUGAAAUGCGUAGAGAUGCGGAGGAACACCGAUGGCGAAGGCAGCUCCCUGGGCUAACACUGACGCUCAGGCACGAAAGCGUGGGGAGCAAACAGG